Long non-coding RNA from Arachis duranensis, 1670 nucleotides. RefSeq lists it as uncharacterized. NCBI's taxonomy places the organism in Eukaryota, Viridiplantae, Streptophyta, Magnoliopsida, Fabales, Fabaceae. The record is from RefSeq and is a predicted model, not a curated record. The transcript has 3 exons.
AAUCAUAAACCCUACCACCACUUUCAUCCUUUGUCCCUAUCCACAUCCUUCUUGGCUUCUUCUGCUUCUUCAUCUGCAUUUCCUUUGAAUUUGAAAGACGAAGGAGGAGUCAUCUCCAUCACAAUCGCCAUUCCAACACAGACGAGGACGACCAGGAUCAGAUGCAACUUCUCCGUCCACUCAAAAACUGACGCCAUCACCAAGACUGAGCCCCACCUUGUCUGCACCUCCGUCAAAGCCUUUGCUCUAUCAACCAUCGCUAAUCUUGGUCCCGGCUUCGACUUACUCAGCUGCGCCAUUGAUAGCCUCGGUGACACCGUCUCCCUCACUGUUGACCCACACGUCCACCCAAGAGAGAUCUUCAUCUUCGACAUAUCCAGUACGGGCAACAACAUUACCAGGCUUAUCAAAAACUCUCUCUGGAACUGCGUUGGGAUCACCGCUCGAAGUCAUGAAGAUGCUUGGAAUCCGCUCCGUUGGCCUGUCCCACUCUCUUCAAAAGGGUCUCCCCCUGGGAAGUGGCCUGGGGUCCAGCGCCACCGCCGUAACUAUCGUGUUUGUCAAUGAGAUCUUUGACAACAAAUUGGGGGUGCAGGAGGUCGUCCUGGCUUCCCUGAAGUUGGAGGAGAAGGUUUCCGGUUACCACGUCGACAAUGCGGAGCUGGCAAUCAUGGGGGGUUCAUGCUUAUGUACUUUGAAAACCAGCCCUCUAUAUUAAUACAAUAAAAAAUCCAAAAACAAUGCCAAAAAACACUGCAAACUUCCAUUAUUGCAACAUAAACUUCACGAGGGCCGAGGGGUCAAGGUAACUAUGUGCAUAAAAAUCUGCAAUUCAGUUCAACGGUCAUAAAGCAACUCACUUCAUGCUAUAUCACCAACUCACAGUAAGCUAAAAAAUACCAGGAAUUCCAUUAACUUUAAUUAGACCGCAUCCAGGUUAAAAUUUAUGGUUUUAUCCAUAGUAUCUUUUAACAUUUUUUGAUCAGUGCCUGAAUAUUUCCAAUAACAAAUUAGUAGUAACAACAAAAGAAAUCCUUAAAGAAAACAUUGUAGUACUUAACGCAGGCAAGAGAAGUUCUUCUUCUUCAAGGUCCAGUUCUCCAUCUCCUCGUUGCAAUGCAUGUGUUCCGCCCUUAUUCCCUGAGCCUCUUUUUGUCCGAGUUUCAGCCUCUGCUUUGCCGUGAUUCUGCUGCGGUGUCGCCGAGGUUCUGUCGUUCAGCCACUAUUCCACCGCUGUUAAGCCUCUGUUAAGCCAUUUUGUUCGAGUUUUAAAGCUCUAGCAAUCUCUCCUUCUCCCUAUUCUGUUCGAAUUUCAAAACGUGCUAUAGCCUAAGGUUUUAUUAAAGGAUUUGGGCAUGGUGUUGUGUAACUGUUUCUUGUGAACAAGCACUAGGUUUGUGUUGCCGAAAAACCAAUCAAGAUGGGAAAAAAGAAAUUAUUAGAGUCAUGAUGCUUGCCCAACUACAUUCGUGACAUGAUGAGCAAGCUAACUAAAAACAAUGCCGUUGAGAAGCUUGCGGAGAUUGAUGAAAUCAGAUUCGGAUUCUUCAGGCUUGUUCCGAAUUGGUCUGUGAAGCAGGCCAUCAUGGUUCAUCUAGCCGAGUCGUAUGAAGUUAAGACAAGAACUUUUAUACUCGACGUUGGCAACAUCCGCCUCAAUACCGAGUUAA